GCUCUUCCCUUACCCGAGCCGGAUGCUUAUAUUCAGCCUGUCUCCGCAAGGAGACUAUGGCGAUAAACGGACAUCGUAAUAAACCAUCCGGACCCGGGGGCGGUACCCGGCGCCUCCACCCAAGCCCACCCGAGACGGUGGGUUUCGGCGGGGGCGAAAUAGGAUCGACGGGGGUGUAAAAGGUGCUCUUUUGCCCGGCAUGAUACCGCCGUUAUCGGGUCAAACUUAUAGUUGCCAACGACAACUAUGCUCCGGUGGCCGUCGCCGCGUAAUGCGGUGCCGAUACUGGUACCAAGCCCUGUAGGGUAGCACUUACAGGCGGGGCUCGGAGGCGCCUGGCAACAGAAGCCUCCACU
RNAcentral lists this transfer-messenger RNA (356 nucleotides) under Rhizobiales bacterium 62-17. It matches the Rfam family "Alphaproteobacteria transfer-messenger RNA". Rfam says of the family: Bacterial tmRNA, also known as 10Sa RNA or SsrA, is named for its dual tRNA and mRNA-like properties. Its role is to liberate the mRNA from a stalled ribosome. To accomplish this part of the tmRNA is used as a reading frame that ends in a translation stop signal. Lineage: Bacteria; Pseudomonadati; Pseudomonadota; Alphaproteobacteria; Hyphomicrobiales. The record is from RNAcentral. RNAcentral also lists the same sequence under 3 other names.